Molecule: long non-coding RNA, 1017 nt
Filed under: Arachis ipaensis
Lineage: Eukaryota; Viridiplantae; Streptophyta; Magnoliopsida; Fabales; Fabaceae
Description: long non-coding RNA (AIPA_LNC000465)
Source: RNAcentral
UUUAUCUCACUCAUUUCUCUUUGCCGCCAUAGUUGAAUCUCAAGUGAAGCAGAUCAGAUGGGAUCAGAACAAAGAAAGAAAGAAAGGUGAUGAAUGAAAGGGUUGGCAGUUUCCGAAGUACUCUCGGGGUUUUCUGAGGCACAAGCUAUGGGAAGCAUUUGGUUUGUGUGGUGAGCAAAGGGUUAAGUACCAGUCAAAUGACGCAACUAAAUUAUAGAGUUGAAAAAUUAGAAAUUUGUAUAAAAUAUGAUAAGAAUUGAAUAGCUUUUUUAAGAAUUAUAAUUUUUCUCUUUUUUUACAAAAGGAGAACACUUCCCUCUAAAUAUAUAGAAAAAUACCUCAAUUUUUUUUUUAUAUUUUUCUCUAUCACUUUUCUCUUUUUCGAUAUCAUUUGUUAUCUAAUGAGAUUAUCUAUUUAUGUUCAAAUUCUUCUCACCUUAACCAUACAAUAACUAUAGGUGGAUAAUGAGUAUUACUUUGGACAGUUAAUGUUUGAUAGCUUAUAAGUAAGAUAAUUUUCUCCUUUCAUUUUGUUAGAUUUUUAUUUCUUUUUCAUAAAAAUUAACUUUACUCUUUUUUUACAUGAAGUUGACUUUGAUGAACUUUAUGAUUGUCUUCUGAGGUGAUCACUGAUCAUGCUGAAUGCUAGCACGCCACCAAAAAUAAAUAAAUAAAUAAAUAACAUUAUGUUUCCUUUUCAGUGAUUUCAGAGGACAAUUAUUUGAGGUUAUUUUAUUCUCAAUCUUAGACAGAAUGGCAGAAAAUGCUGGCUAUUGCUGCUUUGAAGAAAUCUUACAGAAUGGCAGAGGAAGAGAAGAAUAGAAAAGGUAGAAGAGAAUAGAAAGCAAUGAAAAAUGAAUCUGAAGUUUGAUUUAGUAUUUGGAAAAUUAUUACAAGCCUUGAGUCUUCUACCUAAGUCAGAGGUUAUAUAUAUAUAUACUCUUUUGUAAGCAUAUUACCGGUUCACCAGUUAUACAAAAAAGGCUAUAUAUAUGAGAUUUACAGCAAAUUAACAUU